UUUCCGUAGGUGAACCUGCGGAAGGAUCAUUAGUGAAUUGAAUAAGUUAGUGGACCUCUUCGGAGUCCCUAGCAUCAAAUCUUACCCAUAACACAUGUGAACUGUAAGGCUGUCUGGCAAACGAAAGUGAUUAGGGCGCCUGCCCAUUUUAUACACACAUUAAAGUAACAAACGAAGUCUUAUAAUAAUCUAAUAAAACUUUCAACAACGGAUCUCUUGGCUCUC
This 225-nucleotide unclassified non-coding RNA is filed under the name plant metagenome. RNAcentral describes it as "partial contains small subunit ribosomal RNA, internal transcribed spacer 1, and 5.8S ribosomal RNA". The record is from RNAcentral.